UCCUUGCUUGGUGCUUAGGUUAGUGCUGUAGAGGUACAACAAGCAGGCAGUUGGGUAGUGAUGUUGGAACGACUAGUUGAUCCUUCAGUUUGGAGAGCAGAAUAUCUAGCCUGUAGGGAAAUAGCCUUCUAUAGUUGCAGAGCUUGAUGGAGGGCCUCAUUAAGGGUCUCUAGUCGAUACAAUCCUAGUUAGGCUUUUAUGUCGAUCUGUAGGCCAUGCUAGAAGCUUGCCAUAUGGUGUUCAUCAUAAUCAACAAUUCCACACCUUGCAUUCAAUUCAUUGAAUUGCUCGAUGUAUUCACUGAUAACAGAACAUCCUGCUUAAGUUAUAGAAGCUUUUCAUAAAUUUGAUUGUGAUAAUUGUGAGCAUGUAUUUCUCUUUCAGCUUCUUAUGCGUCACUUUCUAAGUGUUAACAGGUACAUCAUAGGCAUGAGCAUGAUCUUCGACUAUCUUCCACCAACUUUUGGCUUGACCUCUGAGCUUGACUAACUCAACACUUCUUAGCCCAUUCAGCUUGUACGAAUUGAUAUAGUCUUCAAUGGAUGCAAGUCAAUAAAAGAAAGCAUCCAAGUCAACUUUGCCUUGAAAGUCUUCUCCCUCUAGUUGAACCCUUUUGUAGAUGUCUUCAUCAGGGUCAUGAACUCUUGGUUGGGCAGCUAGAGGUGGGUGGUCCUCUUCAAUUUCAUUGAGUUGCUGUGGUGGGGCUGGAAUUGCAUGCCUAAUAUCAUCUACAUGGGCCGCUAGAUCAUGCAAGAUGUCUAUUACAUCAUCAAAUCAAUGCUCUAGCUAGGCAAUACGAGCUUCGAGAAUUAUUAGAGGAUUAGUAUUGCCAUUACUUUAGGGUUCUGAGUUGUCAUGAUUGGUAGAGCAUGACCACUGCACAGUUGCAUACAAGAAUUGGAUGCAGGGGUAUUAGGUGGCUGCAGAUGUGCUGUCAGGUCAGGAUUGGAUGGUGGAGUGAAUGCUAUUGGAUAAGCUUGGUCUGACAUAGUCAACUUGGAAUGAGAGCAGAGCCGCAAAGGCACUAGAAGUCAGCUUCGGCUUAACCUAGGAAUCCCAUGUCAAACCUAAUUGGAAAACCAAAUCCAACUUGGAUCUUGUGGCCCUAAAUCUUAAGUAGCUCAAAAUCAGGAUCGAAUUGUAAUGGAUAUGUAGUCUGAACCCAUUCUAACUAACUUGGAUUAGGCCUCGUAUUGGAUAGUACAGGGAUGUUGUCCAAAGGAGAUAUUGGGGGAUUAGGAUUGGGAUUGGGAUUGGAAACCUUUGGAGCGAUAAUUAUUCUUCUUUUCUGGGAUGAAGUGGAAGAGGACCGUUGAUCAUACAGAUAGGGUGGUGAAGGAAAGCUAAGGGGUAUGCUAGAGCAAUGAAACAAUGAGGCUCUUAUUUUUGGCUUUGAUGCCAAAACUGAUGCAAGCAAGCUUGCAUGAGAAUAUGGAAUCUGUGGAAGCAAGGUAUAACUAUUGACCUCACACCAGCCUCCUUGAGAGUCUUCAGCCCUUCGCCUCAAGAAGGGAAUCACUCCAAGCAAGGAAUUGAGGAAGAACUUUAAAAACUUUAUUGAUGAUUACUUCAUGGCAAAAGAGAAUACAACUAGGGCCUUUUUGUAGGAGAGCUCAUAGAGCCAAUGGGAUUUUCUGAGUUCUCAUGAUACAACUUUUCUACAANNNNNNNNNNNNNNNNNNNNGAAGGGAACAUAAUCCCACUUUAGUUCUCUUACAGCUGAUGAACUUUUAACAAGCUGCAUAACGUUGCAUGCUUGUCAGAUAGCAUUACUUAGUUAAGUGAAACACAUUGAGAUUUGAUGCAUACAUAGGCACACACGUUAUACAUGUGGAUGUGAGUGCACAUGCAUAUAUAUACUUGUUCUUGUUUUAAUUUUUUAGUUUGUAUGGUGAUGUCAUUUAUUUCCAUCAUCUUACCAUGAAGAAGAAAAGGUUUUAUAUACUCGAGACCAUUACAAAUUACAAGUUCUUGUUUACACUUUGUUGUUAUGUACUAUUAUAUGUGAAAAUCCUCGACUUGCUUGUCUGAUUAAUUUUUUAUUACACAUUUGUUAGCUUUGUCUGAUCUUGGUAACCAUGUGCCUGAUAAGCUCUAAUUUGGAUGUCCUUGUUAGGGAGAGGAAUUAAAGGACGAAUGUCAUAGACCUAAAACAAUAAUGAACCACUUGGUUGUUCAGUUCUGACAGCAUAUGAUUUAGUCCUGUCUUGGAUUUUCAAAUUUUCAGACAAUCUGCAAGAUGCAAUAGACAACAAGUACAAUAUUAUUAGUAACUUAAGNNNNNNNNNNNNNNNNNNNNUGGGAGUAAUCUGAUAGAUUGAUUACUCCUGCAAAUGGAUCUUCUAUAAUUGGAGCCACAUCACCUAAAGUGUUUUAUCCAGUUAC
RNAcentral lists this long non-coding RNA (2385 nucleotides) under Phoenix dactylifera (date palm). Its description in RNAcentral is "long non-coding RNA (PDAC_LNC002789)". Lineage: Eukaryota; Viridiplantae; Streptophyta; Magnoliopsida; Arecales; Arecaceae. The record is from RNAcentral.